RNAcentral lists this small nuclear RNA (23 nucleotides) under Arabidopsis thaliana (thale cress). RNAcentral's name for it is "snRNA_03349". The record is from RNAcentral. Lineage: Eukaryota; Viridiplantae; Streptophyta; Magnoliopsida; Brassicales; Brassicaceae.
GCAAGCCAAGUAUCAAGUAUCAU